This 64-nucleotide transfer RNA is filed under the name Brephallus tramlapensis. Its description in RNAcentral is "tRNA-His". The record is from RNAcentral. Lineage: Eukaryota; Metazoa; Arthropoda; Insecta; Blattodea; Blaberidae.
ACUUAAGUAGUUUAAGUAAAAUAUUGAUUUGUGGCAUCAAUGAUAUAUGAAUAUAUCUUAGGUU